CAGUAGCCGCGGGAAUACGAAGGGGGCUAGCGUUGUUCGGAUUUACUGGGCGUAAAGCGCACGUAGGCGGACUUUUAAGUCAGGGGUGAAAUCCCGGGGCUCAACCCCGGAACUGCCUUUGAUACUGGAAGUCUUGAGUAUGGUAGAGGUGAGUGGAAUUCCGAGUGUAGAGGUGAAAUUCGUAGAUAUUCGGAGGAACACCAGUAGCGAAGGCGGCUCACUGGACCAUUACUGACGCUGAGGUGCGAAAGCGUGGGGAGCAAACAGGAUUAGAUACCCCUGUAGUCCCUGUCUCUUAUAC
This 301-nucleotide ribosomal RNA is filed under the name uncultured bacterium. RNAcentral's name for it is "partial 16S ribosomal RNA". It matches the Rfam family "Bacterial small subunit ribosomal RNA", at positions 509 to 807 of the family's 1533-position model. The record is from RNAcentral.